This is a long non-coding RNA of Thalassophryne amazonica, 4828 nucleotides long. RefSeq lists it as uncharacterized. The record is from RefSeq and is a predicted model, not a curated record. Lineage: Eukaryota; Metazoa; Chordata; Actinopteri; Batrachoidiformes; Batrachoididae. The transcript has 2 exons.
UUCGGGACUCUCGCGACAAAAAAGAAAACAGGAAAGCACACCCAAAUCACAAAGUGCAAUAAAUACAUGCUGAAUGGUUCUUAUAGGCGCCUCGCACACACCAGCGUCAUCACCAGUCUCAACAGAUUCACUGAAAAACAAAAAUCAAACAAGGAAAUAAAACUUCAAUAACAAAGAAGAAUCACAACCUACACGGUAAAAACGAUAAUAAUCACGUCUGACUAAGAGCACGUUGCUUCUCCGAGUGAUAAGGAUUUAUCCGAGCAAAUAUCUACCUUCCUUCAUCCAGCUGACUUUUUUGCACAAAGAGGUACAAGUGCGUCUUUUUGAUUGCAAACAUUCUGUCAAUCAGGACGUUUUGAUGAAUUAAAAAAAAUACAGAACAUGGACUUGCGCACAGUAGAGGAAAACCAAACAGAAACAUAAUUUAAGUGGCAACAAAAAGUUAAAAUUCCAGCUUCUUUCAUAACCAGAUAUGGAGAUUUGACAGAGACAGAUUAAAAAAAAAAAGGUUUCCAUAGUGAUGACCCAACAGGGAAGCCCCGGGACACAUUCACACUGCAGGUGCAUCUUCUGUUUCACUCACAUCAUCAUCACAGCAACUGUGACUUAUUUUCUCAACCGGACACACGUCUGCCAAACCGCUCUAAUCUAGACGACAAACUCUGCCAGAAAUGACGAAAAGCUGCAGUUUAGUAUUAAACCGUCUGAUUAAAAAGUUACAUCCAAAUGAUGUCUGCCUCUAAAAUAACAGCAGAGGGCGCUGCUGGCAUUCAUUUUAAAUAAAACCGGUAUUUUAAAUAACAGUGAGAACUAAAGCGUCAAAUUCAUUUCCACAGUAUCACAUCAUAUCCAAACUGCUGCUCCAAGCUUCCCCUUUUAAGAUGCUUUCAGUCAUUGAGUGUAAUUACAUUGUUGUUUUAUUAGGCACGAGGUUAUUCGUGCACAGACUUUUCCAAGAUGCUUUCAGUCAUUAAUUGAGUGUAAUUACAUUGUUGUUUUAUUAGGCACGAGGUUAUUCGUGCACAGACUUUUCCAGUUAAAAACCUUUCGCCAAAGUCAUCCCCACAUCUCAAAAGCAUCCAUGUGUCUGUCACAGCCAGGUGAAGCGUGGGCACCCCCUCAGUCUUCUCCAGCCACAGGGGUCCCCAACACUCAGGCAUGAUGUGCUGGAUCAUGCACAGCGAUACGUGCCACAUGACCAAAAUGUCAACACUGAUGCUCCCUCACAAUACAAGUCAAAUUCAUCAUUUUAGCCUCCACGUAGUAACCACUCAUUUGAUUGUCGGAAGAGAUCUAGUACCGAAGAAAUCCAGUUGUUUCCUUCGGUCAGUGGACAGCAUCUGAUUCUCACAACCACACAGUGAGACAGGAAGCACCAGGACCCUAAAGACGUCACCAAACACUCCUGUCCAGAGACUUCAUGAAAUUACUCAAUCACAAUUAUUAUUAAAAAUUAUAUAAUCACCACACACACAGAUGAUGUUCACCCAAUCUUCUGACUUUGUAGCAAAUAAAUCACAAAUAUGAAAUAAAAACUUUUAAUAGCUAAGGGUUGCAUCUUCUUUAAACAUACCUCAAACUAGAGAAAUGGUGUGUGUGCGUGUGUUUAUACUCAUAUAGUACAGCAUAAUUGAAUAUGAUGAUGUGAAUUAACGGCAUAUUGGUUUACAUAUUAAGUAGAAUAAAGAAUUAUUAAUAUUAACAUCAACUUCAUGUAGCAAUUGUAUAAUUUUUCUCCCCCCCACCCGGAGUCAAAGAGCCAUGUGCCCUGACAAUGCAGAUUGUGCAGUACCCUUCACUCGGGCCUCCAUAAGUAACUACUGAUUUAACACAAAAUCGUUCCAGUGGUACCCAACAAUUGUCCAGAAAGACCUAGUAUCAAAUAUGUCUAGUCAUGGCCUUGGGUCACUUGAUGGAGUCACAAUCAUACAAUAAGACUGGAUGUACAAGGACAUCAAAGAUUUGGACCUUUGUCCAGUUCUGAAGACAUCGGCAUCUCCAAAAGUCUCUCUCCGGGGAUCUCGUGAACCCAAAAACUCUUCCCAGUCAUCUCUCAAUCUCAAUGGCCAAGCUUUCAGACACAUGAAUGUGACUGCUGAGACAACCAAAACUCUCAAGUUCAACACUUUGACCACAUACAGAUACACUUCCAACAGCCAAAGCCACUGAAAGCCUAGAUUUUAGUCUUGAUCCAAGACGAAUGCAAAUCCAGACACUUCAACUCUUCACUUAGCUUCUCAAGUGACACAAUCAAGGUAUCCUUUAAUUCCACAACACUGUCUACAAAGUUGGAGUCAGUGAAUCUUUCUUCAGUGACAACAUCACCCAAAUUGCUGCAGUCCAGGACCUUAUCCAGCACCAGGUCCAUCAAGGCACACAAGGAAUACAGCGGGUGCCAGAACAACUCUGUUGUGAAGGACAGAAUUCACUGGAACUUAUCAUAAAACAAUGUCUUGGUUUGGGGGACCACACCGUAUCAUUCCCUCUGUAAGCAGACCAAGGGUCACUAGACCACAGGCAGUGUGCUACCUGUUCACAAAUUCCACUAUCAAAUGUCAUGACAAUCCUGUGUUAUCACAGACCACUCUCUCAGCUCCUUACACACUCCAGAAUUUCCACCAAGUCAUGUAGUACUUCACUGGAUGAUAUUCAGAUCACCCAUUGACAAGAAACACCUUCUCCUGGGAAAACCAACACAAUCCCUGGCAACUUUGAGGGACUUGUCAUGAAAGAACUCCUGCAUUCCAUUCAGGACAUCUGUUGUAUCUUAGUUUGGAAAUCUUCUACCCACCCAGAUCACAUGCAAAACUCUGCAAAAGAGUCCAAGAGACCAGACCAAAAGUAUAUGCAUCCUCCCAUUGAGACGUGGAGCUCACUAAGCUCCUUCAACAGCAGCGGAAGAUGGUCAUCUUUACUGAAAAAAAGGAUGUUCAAGGUGUCCACCUGCAUGAACUUCAUUUUUUAAUAACUGUCCUCUGUCACAAAGUCAAGUCAAGUCAAGAACAUUACCUAAAUCUAUCUGAUACUUUCUGAGGUAUUUUGACCACAAACAGAGAUGAAAAGUAAAAAUAAAAAAAAAUAAAGGACUGUCUGCACUAAAUUCCUGAGGUUUUUUUUUUCCGGUGAUAAUAAAAAGAACAGAACAGCAGAGUGGACGCGUGACUGACUGGGAACUAAACCUGUGGAACUUUUUUAUAAUCCCGAAUUUAUCAACACGUACACAACUCUUUAUUAAAACAGUUCUUAAAAUAAAAACCCGGGGCCUCAUUUAUCAUCCAUUUGUAUGCACAGAUUUGUGCUUUAACCGUUAGUACAAACAUCUCCAAACUUGCAAAGUAUGAAUUUAUGGACUUGUUCUUGAAUUUAGAAAUGUGUGUAAAUAAUCACACAGCUCUGACCAUGCCUACACGCACCAUCUAGUGGUAGAACAGAGGAACUGCAAAAGCAUGCAUCCUCAUCCACAUAUGUUCAUUCUCUUAGUCAUUAUUCUGGUGAGGAACACAAGCUACAGACAGAUGUUUUGUUACCAUAAAUGGAUAAUUGAGGGUGUUGCUGAAUGACCAUGAAUGUGCUUACGAACGUACGGGUUUAUCAACAGCUGAUACUGAUGUGCGAACAAAUAGCGUCCACCUAUUUGGUAAAUAUGGAUUUUUUUUUUUUGUACUCCACACAUACAAAAUUUUGUUUGUAGGACAACAUUUAGAAUUGUUUCUGUGCAGAGAUGGAUUAACGAGGGUGCUGGGUCUCAUCUCAUUUGAAACCUUAUGGUCAAGAAUCUGGCGUGCACAUCGUUGUCCUUGUAAACACAGGAGAAGCCAGACACCUCAAAGAUUUCGAUUUUGGACUUUUUUUUUUUUUUUUUGCUUUUUCAGAUGAGUUCAGAGAACCAAAGCCUUCAGACUGGCAUCAAAUUCAACAUUUUGCAGCAAAAACUGGAUCUGACCUGGAAACCAGAAGUGACAGUGAAACUCCUGCAGUGUGAAAGUUCUCGCAGCUUUUCAGCAGCCCUGAAUAACGUCCCACUGUCCAGUUCAACAAGCAGGAAAACAACAGCUGAGGAUUUGUUUGAGGAAAAAAAACAAAAAAAAAAAAACAAAAGUGAGUCAAAAACUAUGAGAGAACUAAUUCAGUAUUUUGACAUCAGUCAAAAUUUUAAAGCACUAGGCGGUGCUCUGCCACCUCAGGAGCUGCAAAUAAGCAUCAAAGCAAACACCAAUUCCUGUCAUUUCUGCAGUUUUUCAUCUAAAUUAGUAAUACAUCAGCUUAUGAUUUGGCAUUUCCUGAAUUUCACAAUUCUCAUAACUUUGACUCGUUAGGUCAUACUCCAGUUGUAAGGGGAUAUAUUUAUUUUAAAAACAGAUUUUCAUAAUUGCAUCCUGACCAACUAUUAUUUUAAUUUUUUGGUAGAAAAAGAUUUCCAUAUUUUAUCUGGUGUAUGUAACAGCGACAUGUUUAUUAUAGAUGUGGUGAAAAUAAUCGCUGUCUGUAAGUGCUGGAACCCGUCUGUGGCUGGGACGAGACUUUCAUGUACUUAAAAUAAAAUAUUUUGCAGAAUUCAUCAUUGAAAGUGAGGGUCAUUUUCAGAAUAUUUUACAUAAAACUCAAUGUUUACUUCAUAGGGCCUUGUUUGUGUUAAGGUGAAGCUAAACAUUCACACGUUCAUUGGACAGGAGCAGGAGACACACAUUUUCGGUUUCAAGGUCAACUCUCCACUGGAUCACAGCCCUGGCUCAAGCACCUUCAUGAAAACAAGAAGGUCUAGAACGAUACCAGAGAACCAACCCACAAAGCGUAUGCUCAGCAUGGUGACCCAACAAGACCAGAA